Molecule: long non-coding RNA, 499 nt
Organism: Neopelma chrysocephalum (saffron-crested tyrant-manakin)
Lineage: Eukaryota; Metazoa; Chordata; Aves; Passeriformes; Pipridae
Exons: 2
Source: RefSeq, a predicted model, not a curated record
CCCAGCGGAAAAACCCGGAAAAACCCCCCCCCUCGAGGCCUCACUUGGGGGGCGCCAAACGGAGCCCGAGACCCCCCAAAAACCACUUGUGGGGCAGCCAAUGGACCUUGAGACCCCCCCCAAAAAACCACUUGUGGGGCAGCAAACGGAGCCUGAGAGCCCUAAAAAGUCACUUAUGGGGCAGAAGAUGAAAUCUGAGGCCCCAAAAAGUCACUUGUGGGGCAGGAAACGGAAUCUGAGACCCCAAAAACGUCACUUGUGGGGCAGAAAAUGGAGUUUAAGACCCCUACAAAGUCACUUAUGGGGCAGAAAACGGACUCAAAAAGCCCCAAAAAGUCACUUAUGGGGCAGAAAAUGGACUCAGAAAGCCCCAAAAUGUCACUUGUGGGGCAGGAAACGGAGUUUGAGACCCCCAAAAAACCACUUGUGGGGCAGCAAAUGGAGCCUGAGAGGCCCCUGAAAAGUCACUUGUGGGGCAGAAAAUGGACUCAGAAACCCC